This 292-nucleotide ribosomal RNA is filed under the name uncultured bacterium. RNAcentral describes it as "partial 16S ribosomal RNA". The record is from RNAcentral.
GGACUACUGGGGUAUCUAAUCCCGUUCGCUCCCCCAGCUUUCGCGUCUCAGCGUCAGGGACAGGCCAGGAAGCCGCCUUCGCCACUGGCGUUCCUCCCGAUAUCUACGCAUUUCACCGCUACACCGGGAAUUCCACUUCCCUCUCCUGCCCUCUAGCCCGACAGUAUCCCGCGGCCUCCUACGGUUGAGCCGUAGGCUUUUACACGGGACUUACCAGGCCGCCUGCACGCGCUUUACGCCCAGUAAUUCCGGACAACGCUCGCCCCCUACGUCUUACCGCGGCUGCUGGCAC